GACGGGAGGUGCAAGCGUUACUCGGAAUUACUGGGCGUAAAGCGUCCGCAGGUGUCCUGCCACGUCUGAGGUAAAAGCACGGAGCUCAACUCCGUGUACGUCUCGGAAACGAGUAGGAUUGAGUCACUCAGAGGCAUCUGGAAUGUCGCGUGUAGGGGUAAAAUCCGUUGAUCCGCGAUAGAACGCCAAAAGCGAAAGCAGGAUGCUGGGGGUGUACUGACACUCAGGGACGAAAGCGUGGGGAGCAAACGGG
RNAcentral lists this ribosomal RNA (253 nucleotides) under uncultured bacterium. RNAcentral's name for it is "partial 16S ribosomal RNA". It matches the Rfam family "Bacterial small subunit ribosomal RNA", at positions 524 to 776 of the family's 1533-position model. The record is from RNAcentral.